GUACAAAUGUAAGAGAUGACAGACAAAAUUGGGUGUGAACAUUUCUUAUUCUAUUUGCUCUCAAAAUUCUGCUAUAAAUAAUGAAGAAAAGAUUAGUUUAAUAAUCAUCUUUGAGAGCAUCAUAUAUAAUACUCUAAUCAAAAACAUAUUGCUUUUCCUUACCUUAAGAGUUAAUUCGAUGGAUAUACUUUUGAAUGUACUAGGUGACAUUAUUGUUGAGGUGGAAAAGUUUGUAUGUAAAUGCAUCUAUCCUAAGAUUGAAAAUAUCAUCCGUUUCUCGUCAAAAAUUGAAAAUCUAAGGAAGGAAAUGGAGGAGCUAGCAAGGUUUAGAGACGACGUCAAAGCAAAGGUGGAAGUAGCGGUGCGAGAAGGCUAUAAGCCAAAACCAGAUGUUGUUAAGUGGAUCGAAGAUGUUUAGAAGCUCGAGAAUGAAUGGGAAGCUAUGCAAGAAAGCAUUGCAGCGGAUAAGACACUUACAUAUAAAUGGUGUCCAAAAUGCAGCCUUCGCUCGGAAGUCUCCGCUCAAGCAAAGAACAUCCGGGAUCAACAAUGCAGAUUUAUAAAGGUCGGAGAAAACUUUGGAUCCAAUUUGGUGGUAGAAAUUUACCGGAUGAAAAAAGUUGCGCACAUCCCGGGAUCAUCAAUAGAAGGCCAGCCAGCUGCAACAAGGAAUCUCAACGAACUCCUACGAAUAUUGGAAGAUGAUAAGGGAAAAGUAUGCCUGUUUCUAAUAUGAAGAGCAUCAGCAAAGGAUUUUUCCUCAAAUUUCCUAGCAUUGACAUGUUAAAUAUGUGGCGUAGCUGUCUUGGAGCGACCUCUUUUGAUGAGAUAUCAUCUCUACACAAUCUGACAUAUCUUUUUAUUAGAGUGGAUAGCUCAUCAUGUUUCAAUAGAGAUUACACCUGGACCUGGAUGACUAGAUUGAAAGGAUUUCACAUUAGAGUUGGGGAAUAUUCACUAUAUGUACCAUAAAACAAGUCAAAAAGGGUGAUAUUUUCAGUAACGGAGAGCUCUCAGGCAUGUUGCAGCUUGCUUCAGAUUUGUACUUGGAAAAAUGCAGGGGUCUCAGGAAGUUGAUUGCAUACAACACUUUUAAUGCUUCAGUAACGGAGCACUCUCAGACUGUUCUUUUUUCUUUCGGACCAGUGCAAGGAGGAAGUGGACAAUUCGACCAAAUCUGGAAUAUCUCGACCUCUGUUAUGUACAUAAUUUAAAGAGUGUUUCUGAUUUCGGUCAACAUUUGGGUCUAAGAUUUUCUAAAUUACGCCAACUGGAUAUCUCUCAAUGUGCAAGUUUAACAUGUCUUUUUAACGAUGGUGGAGCUUGUUCUGUACCCAAGAACUUGGAAGAAAUUACAAUUAACGUUUGCCUUCAGCUGGUAGAGUUGUAUGUGCAAUGCAACUCAAGUGAUCAGGUAGCACUUGUCAACACAGAAAUUCCAAGGGUUCGGAAGUUAAAGUUGUAUCGCUUACCAGAACUAGGAAUGUUGGGGGAGCCACAGAGUAUGUGGGAACACUUGGAGGAACUCAAGGUGAUCGCUUGUGACGGAUUAAGGAAGUUGCCUCUCUCUAUUCAAACCUCCAAAAAUAUCAAAAUAAUAGAAGGAAAAUCAGAAUGAUGGAGUCAACUGGAAUGGGAUGAUGACAACUUCAAGUCAAAUUUAGAGAGUUGUUACAAAGAAACGUAAACUUGAUGAUAGAAGGAUCAAAGUUAACGUUAUUUCUGCUGCAUCUCAGGGAUUUUAAAAAGCGGAGGAAGGAACUUCCUGCACCAGGACAUAAAGCUUCGAGCUAAAGUUAAUUGGUGCGCUUUGCUGUGAUGUAUUUUCCUGUCAGAUGUCUUAAGUUUUUUCUGCCGAUAAUUGUUCCUUGUUUGUACUAUCCCUGCUUCCUGGGUCCGAUAUUUGGAUGGCUUGACUGUACACCAAGUAAUUUCUUGUUUCAUUUGAGUUGUGUGAUCAUCUUGUUUGUUUGUAAUAGACUGGUAUUGCUUCGGUGUUUAAACAUUUUAAAGCAUUCUUAA
Long non-coding RNA from Capsicum annuum, 2022 nucleotides. RefSeq lists it as uncharacterized. The transcript has 3 exons. The record is from RefSeq and is a predicted model, not a curated record. NCBI's taxonomy places the organism in Eukaryota, Viridiplantae, Streptophyta, Magnoliopsida, Solanales, Solanaceae.